This is a non-coding RNA of Triticum aestivum (bread wheat), 116 nucleotides long. NCBI's taxonomy places the organism in Eukaryota, Viridiplantae, Streptophyta, Magnoliopsida, Poales, Poaceae. The record is from Rfam.
CAUGUACUCCCUCCGUUCGGAAUUACUUAUCGCAAAAAUGAAUGUAUCUAGACGUAUUUUAGUUUUAGAUACAUCCAUUUCCGAGACAAGUAAUUCCGAACGGAGGGAAAUAGUGG